AAGUAACAUAUUAGUCUACUAUAUCCCUGAGUAGUGUGCAGGGAUAUAAUAGAAAGAACUGGCUGAAACCACGAGAGACUGGAGAAAACCAGGAGGUGACAGAAAAUGAAGCUAGGUGGUGAUAAGAGGACAUAGAACUGGAAAAGCAAGAAACUGCAGAAGCGGCUGGCUGCUAUCCCAAAUAACAACUUUCAAUUAACAAAUGUCACAGAGACCUAGAGAAGCUGGCUUCAAAGAAACCGAUGAAAAGAUGCAGGGCAUCUGGGUGCAGAACAUCUGGAAGAGCUCCCCAGUCAUGGAUGAGUACACUAAUGAAAGAGGUUCUGGAUCUCGCCUGAGGUAACAUCACCAUCAGCAUUGGACAGACCUUACCAUUCAAAAGAUACAUCCUUGAUAUAAGAACAUUUUUUUCUGAGUAAGUACUGCCACAUGCAAUGCAUCGUGUCUGCAGAGAACAGAAGACUCUACUUUAAUGUUGAAAUAAUAGUUUGGUAUAUACUGGAGACA
Molecule: non-coding RNA, 507 nt
Organism: Anolis sagrei ordinatus
Lineage: Eukaryota; Metazoa; Chordata; Lepidosauria; Squamata; Anolidae
Source: RefSeq, a predicted model, not a curated record